CGCAAUGCUCAUCCCACAUAUCUAUAGAAUCCCUUAUUAUAACUCAUCCCACAUACCUAGAGCAAGUGGCAAAAGGCUUGGUGGUUGGUAUCCGAGGUCUCAAGUUCGAAUCACAUUUCUAGAUAAGUUUAUUUCUAAAAAAAUAAACGAAGCGGGUAGCGUGCUGCCUGUCUCUCAAAAAAAAAAGACUCAUCCCACAUACCUACAGAACCCCUCCUUGUUGUAACAUGGUGUUGAACAAACUCUCUAUCAACCUCCACCAUCAUGAUUACUAGUGAAGGCCCGCGCUACGCAGCGGAAAAUUUAUGUAAAUUUUAAAAAUUUUAAAUUAUAUAGUAAAUAGCACCUAAACUGUAAAGUCAGCAAUAUUAGAAGAUAUUCGAUUUAAAAUUUAACUUUUUAAUUUAAAAUUAAAUUUUAAAUUUUAAAUUUAAUUUUUUAUUUUUUGAAUGUGAUCUAAAAUUAUACGAAACAAAACAAAAAGGAUUAGAAAAGAGGGAAAAAAGGGGAAAAAAGUUAGAAGAGGAAAGGGAAAAAAAGAGAGAGAGGAGUGGGUCCACAGGAAAAAAAGCUUAAAAAUAAAAAUACUAUAUAUAAUAAAUAAUUAAUUAAAAAAAAUAUUAUAUUAUAUAAUAAAUUAUUAUAUAAUAAUAUAUCCAUAUUAUAAAAAUAUAAUACUAUGUAUAUUAACUAAAUAUAUAUUUAUAAAUAAAAUUAUAUAUAUAUAUAUAUAUAUAUAUAUAUAUAUAUAUUAUAAAUAAGAGUCUAGCUAUGGUGCUUGUAAAAGCACCAAGCACUUGGUACUUGUAAGUUUUUUACCGUUAGAUCUACUUCUCGGAUAUUUUCAACCAUUAGAUUAUACUAUUCAACCAACAACUCACUCAACCCUAGGAAGCCCACAUCAUCCUAACCGCAUAUCUCUUAAUCUAAUGGCUAAAAAUCUACAAGCACCAUUGUCUUGGUACUUUCAAAAGUAUAGAAGCUCAAUUCUUAUAAUUAAAAAGAGAGAGAGAGCUAGGUUGACUG
Molecule: long non-coding RNA, 1026 nt
Filed under: Ananas comosus (pineapple)
Lineage: Eukaryota; Viridiplantae; Streptophyta; Magnoliopsida; Poales; Bromeliaceae
Description: long non-coding RNA (ACOM_LNC016848)
Source: RNAcentral